GUCCCUGCAUCCACUGAUAUCAGGGCAAAGUACAGUGAGUGCCCUCUGAGAGAACACGUUACUCAAGAGAGGCCAAGCUUGGCCUGGCUCAAAAUAGCACUUUCCCUUAAUUUGCCUCUUUUUCUCUGUCUCUGUGUCUGUCUUUUUUUUUUUUGUCUCUGUCUCUCUGUCUCUAUCUUUCUCUCUGCGUCUCUCUCUCUCUGUGUCUUCUCUGUCUCUGUCUUUUUUUGUCUCUCUCUCUGUCUUCCUCUCUGUCUUCCUCUCUGUGUCUCUCUCUCUGUCUUCUCUGUCUCUCUGUCUCUGUCUCUCUCUCUGUGUCUCUGCCUCUCUGUAUUCUCUGUUUCUGUCUCUCUGUGUCUCUGUCUCUCUCCUGUCUCUGUGUUUCUUCAUCUCUGUCUCUUUCUCUCUUUCUCCUCUCUCUCUGUCUUCUCAGUCUUUGUCUCUGUCUCUCUCACCAUCUCUGUCUUUCUUUGUGUCUGUCUGUCUCUCUGUCUUUGUGUCUUUGUCUCCAUCUCUCUGUCUCUUUCUGUCUCUCUCCUCUGUCUGACCCUCACUGUCUUCUCUGUCUUUGUUUUUGUCUCUCUCUGUCACUCUUUCUUUGUGUCUGUCUGUCUGUCUCUGUCUUCUCUGUUUCUGUCUCUUUGUCUUUGUCUCUGUCUCUGUCUUUCUUUGUCUCUGUCUGUUUCUCUGUCUCUUUCUGUCUCUGUCCUCUCUAUUUCUCUCUGUCUUCGUCUCUGUCUCUCCAUGUCUGUCAUUCUUUGUCUUUGUCUGUCUGUCUCUCUCUGUCUUCUCUGUCUCUGUCUCUCUCUUUAUGUCUUUGUCUCUGUCUCUUAUUCUUUGCCUCUCUGUCUAUCUCUCUCUGUCUCUCUCUUCUCUCUCUCUCUCUCUCUCUCUCUCUCUCUCUCUCUCUCUCACACACACACACACACACACACACACAUACACACACACACACACACACACACACACACACACCCCAUACCAUUUACACGACUUAUUUUUCUCUUCUUCCCUUCUCUCUUCCUCUUGGCAGCUACAUGA
RNAcentral lists this long non-coding RNA (1041 nucleotides) under Phascolarctos cinereus (koala). RNAcentral's name for it is "lncRNA (ENSPCIG00000034581.1)". The record is from RNAcentral. Lineage: Eukaryota; Metazoa; Chordata; Mammalia; Diprotodontia; Phascolarctidae.